Molecule: ribosomal RNA, 496 nt
Filed under: uncultured bacterium
Lineage: Bacteria
Description: partial 16S ribosomal RNA
Rfam family: Bacterial small subunit ribosomal RNA
Source: RNAcentral
GAUGAACGCUGGCGGCGUGCCUAAUACAUGCAAGUCGAGCGAACAGAUGAGGAGCUUGCUCCUCUGACGUUAGCGGCGGACGGGUGAGUAACACGUGGAUAACCUACCUAUAAGACUGGGAUAACUUCGGGAAACCGGAGCUAAUACCGGAUAAUAUAUUGAACCGCAUGGUUCAAUAGUGAAAGACGGUUUUGCUGUCACUUAUAGAUGGAUCCGCGCCGCAUUAGCUAGUUGGUAAGGUAACGGCUUACCAAGGCAACGAUGCGUAGCCGACCUGAGAGGGUGAUCGGCCACACUGGAACUGAGACCCGGUCCAGACCCCGACGGGAGGCAGCAGUAGGGAAUCUUCCGCAAUGGGCGAAAGCCUGACGGAGCAACGCCGCGUGAGUGAUGAAGGUCUUCGGAUCGUAAAACUCUGUUAUUAGGGAAGAACAAAUGUGUAAGUAACUAUGCACGUCUUGACGGUACCUAAUCAGAAAGCCACGGCUAACUACGU